This 465-nucleotide ribosomal RNA is filed under the name Vreelandella stevensii. RNAcentral describes it as "partial 16S ribosomal RNA". It matches the Rfam family "Bacterial small subunit ribosomal RNA", at positions 338 to 795 of the family's 1533-position model. The record is from RNAcentral. Lineage: Bacteria; Pseudomonadati; Pseudomonadota; Gammaproteobacteria; Oceanospirillales; Halomonadaceae.
CCUACGGGGGGCUGCAGUGGGGAAUAUUGGACAAUGGGGGCAACCCUGAUCCAGCCAUGCCGCGUGUGUGAAGAAGGCCCUCGGGUUGUAAAGCACUUUCAGUGAGGAAGAACGCCUAGUGGUUAAUACCCAUCAGGAAAGACAUCACUCACAGAAGAAGCACCGGCUAACUCCGUGCCAGCAGCCGCGGUAAUACGGAGGGUGCGAGCGUUAAUCGGAAUUACUGGGCGUAAAGCGCGCGUAGGUGGCUUGAUAAGCCGGUUGUGAAAGCCCCGGGCUCAACCUGGGAACGGCAUCCGGAACUGUCAAGCUAGAGUGCAGGAGAGGAAGGUAGAAUUCCCGGUGGAGCGGUGAAAUGCGUAGAGAUCGGGAGGAAUACCAGUGGCGAAGGCGGCCUUCUGGACUGACACUGACACUGAGGUGCGAAAGCGUGGGUAGCAAACAGGAUUAGAUACCCUGGUAGUC